RNA transcript from Ostrinia furnacalis (Asian corn borer), 2710 nucleotides. It is a transcript of the gene named Mitochondrial calcium uptake 1, with no coding region annotated. Lineage: Eukaryota; Metazoa; Arthropoda; Insecta; Lepidoptera; Crambidae. The transcript is spliced from 11 exons. The record is from RefSeq and is a predicted model, not a curated record.
GACAUUGACAUUUCGAAAUAAUAUUGUCAAAGACAUGAAGUGGCAAGAAAAUUAAAAUUUUUAGCCAUUUUAUUAAUAUCCAAUUUAAAUUUGUGUUAUAUCUAAACGAAAACAUGUAUUGUAUUUCUCCACAACUAAUGAAAAUCCCCAGGGGUAUAACAGCAGUUCGAAAAAUACCAAAAUUGACCUAUCCUGUCAACGUAGUGACUCCAACAGCUAAUAAAUCUUUAAUUUUGUCUCGAGAAUAUAGUCAUGAUAAAAAGAAAUACAACACUGAUAACCUCCGAAAGUAUUCAUACAAAUACAUGUGUUAUUCAGUUCUAUUUGCUACUACUGCGUACGCAUCUUACAAAAUCUGGUUAAGAUAUCAAGUAUUUCCAUCAAUUACAGCGGCUGAAGAAAUAGCCGACUCAGAUUCUGAUAGUGAAAUCGACACCAAAAAGAAAAGAUAUAGGAAAGAAAAAAUUGGAUUCAGAGAUAGAAAGAUAAUUGAAUAUGAAAAUCGUAUGAGGUCAUAUUCAACCCCAGACAAAAUAUUUAGGUACUUUGCCACUGUGAAACUCACUUAUGGCGAUAGUACGGAGGUUUACAUGACUCCUGAUGACUUUUUACGAGCUAUAACACCUGGCAUGAAACAGCCUGAUGGUCUUGGCCUCGAUCAGUACAGAAGAUAUGACCCAAAGAGUAUCAGCCAACGCCUGAAUCUUGAUCUUGACGAAGAUUCAAUAUUUUUCAAACUUGGUUCAUCAGGACUCAUCACGUUUAGUGACUACAUAUUCUUGCUCACCGUUUUAUCAACGUCUCGUCGCCACUUUGAGAUAGCGUUCCGCAUGUUCGACUUGAACGGCGAUGGCGACGUUGACUGCGAAGAGUUCGAGAAAGUAGCCGCGCUCAUCCGCCAGCAGAGCUCCAUCGGAUCCCGGCACCGGGACCACGCCAACACUGGCAACACUUUUAAGGGCAUCAACUCUGCGCUCACGACAUACUUCUUCGGGCCGAAACUCAACCAAAAGUUGACCAUCGAGAAGUUUUUGGACUUCCAACAACAGCUUCAAAAAGAAAUACUGUCCCUUGAAUUUCAGAGGAAGCAGCCAGAUGAAAACGGUCGUAUCACUGAAGCUGAUUUCGCCGAGUUAUUGCUUGCAUACGCAGGCUACCCGGCCAAGAAGAAGGCGAGAAUGCUAAAACGUGUCAAGAAAGCGUUCCGCGACCACGGCGUCGGAAUAACAAAGGACGACUACCUCAAGUUCUUCCACUUGCUCAACAACAUAAACGACGUGGACACGGCGCUGACGUUCUACCACAUCGCGGGCGCGUCCAUCGACCAGCCCACGCUGCGGCACGUGGCGCGCACGGUCGCGCACGUCGACCUCGACCCGCACGUCAUCAACGUGGUGUUCACGAUCUUCGACGAGAACAUGGACGGGCAGCUAAGCAACCGGGAAUUCGUGGCCGUGAUGAAGAACCGCCUCCUCCGAGGUCUCGAGAAGCCCAAAGACACCGGCUUCGUCAAACUGAUGCACUCUCUCAUCAAAUGCGCGCGAGACACCAAGCCUGCCAUACUAGACUUUUAAGGACACCCUCGAAUGCACGGCUCCGAUAACGCAAGUAUUGCAUAACUUUUACAGUUUUUAUUCAGAUUAUGUAGGGAACGUUGUGUAGGGAACGUUGGGUACUCGCUUUGGGCUACAUUCUGAUAAAUUGCCACUUUUGUUAUAAACUAGAGACCCGUCCGGCUUCGCACGGGUUCUAUGUAUUAUGCAUUAAAGCUUUCUCAUUAAUCACUCUAUCUAUUGCUGAAAACUGCAUUAAAAAACAGCGGGAGCAACUUGUUUUAUCCUAUGUAAAGAAGCAGCACUAUUUUUAAUGAUUAAAGCACUUUGAUUAGGCUUCAAAAGCCAAGAUAAAUAAUAGCAAUUCGUUCGAAUCCAUUUAAAAAUAUUUAUUUUCAAAUUGUGAGGUUUUCUAAGUAAACAAAGAUGAAUGCUCGUUUUUGCUAAUAACCAUAAUAAUAACCACAGAAACAAGGAUAAAAAAUAUUUGUUGUUGUCUUUCUCAUAUUCGCUGUCCCAAUAUCAAUUAUUAAAAUAUGUGUGUAAACACCAUGGUUAUAUAAAAAAUUUCGCUUUUAUGAAGCAAGUAUCUUUCGUCAUGCCUGUUCCACGAUUUAUAAUACACAAUAUUUAAAAAAAAACGUAUAAGAUGGCUUCAAAAACAAAAAAAUACUGGGUCGUGGUAUUCGAGUGUAUUUUCAAUAAUAUAUUAAGCUCUCUUUACUGGUCAUUAGGUUUUACUCUUUUCUCAUAAUAAAAACAAAAAAAGUGUAUCGAUGCUUACUAUUUGUAAGACAUUCAUUUACCGGUUUUUAUUCUCUCGAAGGAUCUGGUUAUAUAAAAAAUCUCUACAUCACAUAAUAAUCUAGCACCGUUCGAUCGUCUUUAAUAUUUGUGAUAUUGUAUAUAAAUAACAUAGUUGUGUAUAAGAAGAGGUGUUUAAAGAUAUCGUUACCUGCAGUUAAUUGCUUUUCGUAGAAAACAGGGUGUCAAAAAAUCCAGAGAUAGAGCAUUGUGAUUUAUUUCAAUCGUUUUUGUGUGUCUACAAUGUUUUAUAAGCAUUUCAUUCGAAAAACAAAAAAUACAAAAAAAAGUAAUAAAAAUCUAGAGUUGCUCAUAAAUUCCUCUUGAUAUUGUUUUUAGGACUUACUAAUCAA